Taeniopygia guttata (zebra finch) is the source of this 2843-nucleotide long non-coding RNA. The record is from Ensembl. NCBI's taxonomy places the organism in Eukaryota, Metazoa, Chordata, Aves, Passeriformes, Estrildidae.
AAGUCUGCAGUUGUUUAAUGUGUACAGAGUUCUCCAAAAUGGAGAAACCAAGUGUUAAACAUUAUUGAAAAUACACAAGUUACCUACUCAUGUUAGCAUAGCAAGUUGUUUCUACAAAUAUAUACAUUGCCCAGGCACAAAGACAGUUUUAAAGAUACCACUAUUUCCACUUGUUCUUCUUUUCAAAGUUAUUAAUAAUUAAUAAGGGUCCAGUUCCAGCCUUUGCUCAGAUAAAGCUGUCUAAGGUGGCAGUGAAUUUCACCUCAAAAAGGACUUGCAACUUGACUUCCAUCCCUUCAUCUCACAGCUGGAUUUCUCCCAAGUGAUCGAUGUCAGACUCAAUACGAGAAAUAUUGGAUAGCACGUUUCAGCCCAGUGACCACAGCUACAAAUACUCUGGCACAAAUGGUACCACAAGACUUCUGCAAGAUGGGCUCUUGAACAAUGUGGGACUAUAUGCGGCCAUUAAAAACACAUACAGUGUUUGCUUGUGCUGUGUCUUUCACUUAACAGUUUCACACUUCUUAGUAAUGACCUUAAGUUUUCUAACUGAAGCAAGGGAGUAAAAAGCAUAAAGAAAGGUUGGCAUUUAAAGGAAGAUACUCAGACAACAAAAAACAGCUCUGCUGACAUCAUUUGUGCUACGGCAAUUAAUAUCAGCUGAUAAACUGCCCUUUAUGCAAUACAUACAUACUUACACUGUGAUAUUGUACACAUUUAAUAUACAUAUAUACACUGUGAGAACAUUUUAACUCAACCACAUAGGACGUGUCACUAAAAUGCAUAUGCAAUAUAGGAAAAAAUCUAAAUACACAUGCACUCUAGCUGCACUGAAGAUUAUAAUUUAUAAUACAGAUUACUGCGCUAUUUGAUUUCAGCCCUAAAACUAAUUCCCUUUGUAGCAAGCAUUUUUACAUCUUUUUUCCUAAGUCACUUUGGCAUCUAUAAACUAAAGAGUAAUGCUUUUCUAUCCUUCAACUCAGAAAGUUGUUCUGAGGGAAUUUGAAUCAAUAGUGUGUCAGAUUAACAAUGCAUUAUUCACCAUGUUUAAAAUAUUUUAUUGACUCUUUCCUAAUUUUGGUGGUUAGUGAUAGCUGUGGUUUUUAACUGGGCUUCCCACUCUGAAAAAGUUCAUUUCAGAUCUGCCUGUGAACUCCUUCUGCAGAUCAAAUUAGUGAUACUAUUCUUUCUUGACUUCCUUACUUAGCAAAGAGGAAGCCAAAAUAUAACAACAUGUAUCCAUACCACUGUUAAAGAAAGUAAUUACAUCACUUGUGGCUCGCUUGGGAUUAGCCAAGGGAAUCCUGUAACCUGUAGUAUUAAGGAAACUGUAGUACUGAAUCCUGUAACCUGUAGUAUUAAGGAAACUACUAAACUAUGUUGUAUGCUUCGAAGUGAGAAGGUCCAAACCAGGGCAAGUAAUAAAUGUAAACAGAUGCUUUGUGAAUGUGUUAGGACUUACGUAUGCAUUUCAAAAGUAAGGUAAAGCCAAGACUCAUGUCUCAUAUAAAACAUGAAAAUUGUGUCUAGAGCUUUGUAAGUCACGUGUUAUGCACAUUUUUACUACAAAGCCACCAAACCUCCCUUGCAAGGAUGCAGGGUGAGCUUUACAUUUUAAGUCACUUUUUCUUAACUCCAUCAUGGGUUCUUACACAACUCUUACUGGAUUCAGGAAGAGCUUUUCUAUUAAAAAUGUGAUGUAAGUUAAGGAAAGGACUUUACAGAAAUUUGAAGUAGUACACAGACAAGUCCAACUCUGAUUGGCAUAGGACUUGUCGCUGCAUUUAAUGUCCAUCACUUACUUCUCAGAAUAGCUAUAGGAAGAGUAUUUCCCAAUAAUGUGAUAAUUUGCUCAGAUUCAAAACCUGCAAAAAAUAGUUUCCCCUAUCUUACUGCUCUUUGUUUUAUGUUUUAAGAGCAGGGGAGAGAGUAUACCAUGUUUUCCCUUUUGUCAUUCAGGUCUUCAUCUAAAUCUCCUUUUUCCCCCAUUAUCAUAAAAAGCCUGCUUAUGAGCAGAUGGAAAGGACAAUGUUGCUCUUGCCACAAAGACCAUGCAUUUUACCAGCAGGUUACCAGGUAAAGGAUUGAGUGGAUCAGCUGAAAUUGGAGUCUUGUAAAGGAAAUCGGUGCAGUGGUUAACCUUAAAACUGCAUUCAUGGAUGUACUCUUUAACAAAUGCAGCAAUGAAAUGAUAAACAUGACCCAAAUUCUGGCCCUUACUGGGGGAGGGGGAAAUGGAGAAAAAAAAGAUGUGCUCCUUGUUUAUCUAAGCCAUGCACACAGAAGGAAACAGGCUUGGAUGCUUCAGCCAGGACUCUGCAUUUCCAAGUGGAGAGGGGCCGCAAUCCAUCUGCCUCCUGAGUUUCAGCUGAGUUUUGGAUGACGGCAGCAAUUUAAAUGUCACUGUUUAAUAGGAUAACACAUUCGUAGGAAUAGACUUCGCUGCCUUCCUCCCACGAUGUCUUCAUCUCUCCAGGCAAAAAUCUCGGGUUUCCCUUGCCUGAUCCUUUCAAUGUCAUGAAAGCUCCAUGAACACACAUACAACUGUUUUCCCUAUCACAGCUGCAUCUCCAGCAACAGUUUCGGGGCUUGAGGAUUGCAGAGGGCAGCGAAGGGGGAUGUUCAACUUGACAACAAAUACUAGGACAGUAAAAAUAUAUUUGUGAGGACUACAAAUCCUAACAAGGAAGGGAGUAAACUUAGUUCAUUGUGGGUAUCUCCAGUGCUCUACUGCUGCUUUCCUGAGGUUGCACACACCAAGACACGCAGAGAAUGAGUCUCCCCGGUUUGCUCUUUAAAACUGGGCUUACAAGAAAACCUGUUCCAACAAAACGAGUUAGCAA